RNAcentral lists this ribosomal RNA (480 nucleotides) under uncultured bacterium. RNAcentral describes it as "partial 16S ribosomal RNA". It matches the Rfam family "Bacterial small subunit ribosomal RNA", at positions 28 to 507 of the family's 1533-position model. The record is from RNAcentral.
GAUGAACGCUAGCGGCAGGCCUAACACAUGCGAGUCGAACGACAGGUUACCUUCGGGUUACCCAAACCGGCGCACAGGUGCGUAACGCGUAUACAAUCUUCCGUUCCCAUAGGUAUAGCCCGGAGAAAUUUGGCUUAAUACCUCAUGUUAUAUAAAAGCCGCAUCGUUUUUAUAUUAAGACUACGGUACUUAACGAUGAGUAUGCAUUCGAUUAGCUAUUUGGAGAUGGAACGGCUCCCCAAGGCCACGAUAGAUAGUGGUUCUGAGAGGGAUGUCCCCCAGACUGGUACUGAGAUACGGACCAGACUGCUACGGGAGGCAGCAGUGAGGAAGAUUAGACAAUGGUCGGAAGACUGAUCCAGCCGUGCCGCGUGAAGGAUGAAGGUACUAUGGAUUGUAAUCUGCUUUUGAAAGAGAAGAAUAAGAGCUACGUGUAGUUUGCUGACGGUACCUUACGAAUAAGCAUCGGCUAACUCCGUG